GAUGAACGCUGGCGGCGUGCCUAAUACAUGCAAGUCGAGCGAACAGACGAGUAGCUUGCUCCUCUGACGUUAGCGGCGGACGGGUGAGUAACACGUGGAUAACCUACCUAUAAGACUGGGAUAACUUCGGGAAACCGGAGCUAAUACCGGAUAAUAUAUUGAACCGCAUGGUUCAAUAGUGAAAGACGGUUUUGCUGUCACUUAUAGAUGGAUCCGCGCCGCAUUAGCUAGUUGGUAAGGUAACGGCUUACCAAGGCAACGAUGCGUAGCCGACCUGAGAGGGUGAUCGGCCACACUGGAACUGAGACACGGUCCAGACUCCUACGGGAGGCAGCAGUAGGGAAUCUUCCGCAAUGGGCGAAAGCUUGACGGAGCAACGCCGCGUGAGUGAUGAAGGUCUUCGGAUCGUAAAACUCUGUUAUUAGGGAAGAACAAAUGUGUAAGUAACUAUGCACGUCUUGACGGUACCUAAUCAGAAAGCCACGGCUAACUACGUG
RNAcentral lists this ribosomal RNA (497 nucleotides) under uncultured bacterium. Its description in RNAcentral is "partial 16S ribosomal RNA". It matches the Rfam family "Bacterial small subunit ribosomal RNA", at positions 28 to 507 of the family's 1533-position model. The record is from RNAcentral.